UUGUAGUGAAAUAUUUGAGGCACGUAGUUCCUUUGAAAAUGCAGUUUGGAUUUUCUCUUUUAAGAUCUGUCAAUACCAGAUUGUUACCUCAAGUCACUAGUUAUUGAUUGUAACUGUGAGGAGUGUAUUUUCUUUAAAUGAAACCUCUACAAAUAAACGUUAAGAAAAGCAUUUACUUUCUGAAGCCAGUGUAGAGGCCUGGUUAAGUCUCUUCAUUCAAUUUAAAUUUAUUUUAAAAGGCUAUAUUACAGUGCAGAUGUCUCAUAGUCUGCAUACAUUAUCUUAUUUGUAAAGCUGAAGAUUGGGGAUGUAUUUUGUCACCUGUUGCCUACACAGGACAAAAGGGGUGUGGAAGAAGAUUUACUGAUCACGCAAGCUUUUGCAGGGAACUUAUUCAUCAUUUCAUUACUGGUUGGUAAAAUCCAGCCACUUUUUUCCCUCUGCUUUUAGGUGCCCCAGAAAAUCAUACAAUGUGUGUGCUUCAGACAGUGCCGGAGAAGCAUAAUGAGGUGUUUAGUCACAGUUUGGAUGUGGUAUUUGUAGAAAACAGUGCAGGAACUGUGGGCUGGAUUUCCAAGGAAAUAGUCCUUGUAAUCCAAGGCUGCCUAAAUCCCAAACUGGUAUCCAGGCAAUAGCGGCACUAAAUUCUCUGUUUGCUUUUUGUUAGGCGCUUGUCUGCUGAACAUUCUCCUUUUCUUGCAAGGACUGCAGCAUGGCUGGGCAUUUUGAUGUGGUGGGAUUUGUUGGUUCGGUUUAGGGUUUUGUUUUGUUUCUUCUCUUAACCCUUGGAUUUCUGCAGAGCAUCUCCGUAAAUAAGAAUUCAGACAGUCUGGAUGCCUGACUUGGAAAGUAUUUAAUGGUCAGUGGAAAAAAAUGAGGAAGAGGAGGGUGUGGCUGCAGCUGGGAGGCUCUGGCCCUGCAAAGGGUCCCUGGCUUGUAGAGAUGUGGUCCUGCAUCGGCACACAACGAAGACUUCUUACAGGAAAUGUAUGUUGAUCUUCUGAAGCUGAAUCCUCAGGCAUUUGUGGUCCGCCCUUGCAGCCUGGUCCAGCUCUGGCCCUUGAAAGGGCAUCUCUCACUGCGGAGCUGCUGCAGCACCUGAGGUCUGAGCCCAUGGAUUCAGCAUGGAGAGCCCUCAUCUCCAGCAGCCAGGUGGAACAGACUGCUGGGAAAAGGCACUUCAGUAUGUGACAGCGAGAUUCACCACUGCCCCUUCCACCACUGCAUAUCAGCCUGGAUGUAGUCACCCUAUCAGGAGUGUAAAUUUUGCAGGAGAAAUUAUUUUAACACUGGAAAAGAUCUUACUCAUCUGAACCAUCAUUCAAAAUGCACGAUGAAAUUCACCAAGCAGAAGUUUUCCAUCCCAUUGUCUGCAGGACUCCUGCAGAUCUUCUGAAUCGUAAGCAUGUCUGUCUCGAGCUGCCCUAAGAAGAAGAAGCAAUAAUGUGGUGAAAUGAACUCAGAGCACACAAAGAGGAGCCACUGGAGACUAAUCUGCAAGGUACUCAGAUUCUGCUACCCAACUGCUUCUGGGACUUCAUGCAGUUUGCCUCAUCUGAGAGAACCUCAGAUAAGUUAUAUGGAAAAUUGAUAGUAAAUCCCAGAGUACCAGGUUUUGCUGCACAUAAUUCAGAUGUCACACAUGGGACCACUGAAUGAUGGUGUUGCUGUUGAGCAAAAAUUGGAAGGAAACUGUGAGAGUCAAUAGAUGGAGAAAAUGGUCCUGCCCAUCAUUACAGGAAACCAUAACCCUCACCUCUGUGGGACAGGAGUGACCAGCAAUGACCAGCUUCACUGCCUUAGGAACAUCCCCAUUAGAUGUAUUUUUCAGAUAAGUGUCACUGAUAACAUGCAAAUCAGAAUCUGUUAACCAUUGGCUGUUGCAGAUAUGACAUCAAAGCCACCAAGGGAGACUUGAUGUAGUAUGACUUAAAACCAGAUGUAUUUUGAAACAGAAAGAAUGACUUACUGAGGAACCAAGUUAGAAAUGAAAGAAGUGAAGACUGGUCAUCUGUGCAGAGGAAAUUACAAGAAAAAACUAUUGAUACGUCUUCCUGACAGGUCUUUCUGAGAAGCAACAGCUGCAGAAUGUGGAAUCAGUUGUCUGAAAUUCCUGUUGGCGAGGCCUUUGACCUUCAACUUCUGCUGCGUGAUCAAAGAGAGAACUUUUGCAGAUCCCCACAUUAGUGAUGCUGAAAGCCAGGGCAGAUGGCUUCCAUCCCCCUGUCCCCCUGCAGUGUGACCAACUGCCCUCAGGGUGAGAUUUGCCGUGGGAAACAACUCUCCUUGAUCUAUGUGGGGCUGAUGGAUGCAGCAUUUAUUGUGUUCUUUAAUUAGCUAGCAGAAGGUUAGUUCGCUGAUUAAGGUAGGGUGUUGGUUUUAAAUGUUUGCUUAUUUAUAAAAGCAGUGUUUAUAUUAGAAUAUAGACUGAUAUCUCAGUUAUUCCCCCAUUCUUUAGAUCUGCCCUGAAUGGGAAGUGUUGUUAUCUAUCAAACCUGGUGACAGCAAAUAACAACCUCCUCAAGUAUAAGUUUGAGGCUACAGAAGCUGAUGCUGUAGUGGCAGUUCUGCUAAUCCCCCUAACCAAGGUCUGUGUGGUACAGUGGGGUAUGUUCAGUUUGGUCAUCAGUCCAGAGCUGGGUUACUGGUCAGUUAGGAGUAUUGUUGAGUAGGCCACAGUUCCUCACAGUCUUGACAAAUUCAUUGCUCAGUCUUUGGAGUUUACCUAUCAGAACUUGGGAAAUUCAUUUAGAGAACCUCAGCUCUUCCCUGUUGGGAUAAGGGAGGAGUAUCUGGAAGCAUGUUAAACAAUCUCUCUAAUUCAGCAUCCAUUCUAAGUCAUAGCGAUGCCUUUUCCGAAGUGACAAACUGGUUUGAUAAAUUACAGUCAUGUAGGAGCUGGAAGUACACAAGUGCAGUUAUUAAAAAUGAAUGCUGUAUCCUGUUUCCUUUGUGUAUCUUGUCACUGACAUGACUUCACAAGUUGCAAAUCUAUUAAACAUUUCAAACGUGGAACUGGAGCUCAUUAAGCAGAAUGUUGACUGGUAUAUAGCAAACUGUUUCAAAUUCAAGACUGUCAACAUUUGUCUCCAGAGUUUUUUGUCUUCUAGGUUGUCACCAAGCAAUUAAGCUGUCUGGGAAUACAGCCUGUGCUUCCU
Long non-coding RNA from Catharus ustulatus (Swainson's thrush), 3158 nucleotides. RefSeq lists it as uncharacterized. The record is from RefSeq and is a predicted model, not a curated record. NCBI's taxonomy places the organism in Eukaryota, Metazoa, Chordata, Aves, Passeriformes, Turdidae. The transcript is spliced from 12 exons.